RNAcentral lists this ribosomal RNA (114 nucleotides) under Zingiber officinale. Lineage: Eukaryota; Viridiplantae; Streptophyta; Magnoliopsida; Zingiberales; Zingiberaceae. The record is from RNAcentral.
GCGAUCAUACCAGCACUAAUGCACCGGAUCCCAUCAGAACUCCGAAGUUAAGCGUGCUUGGGCGAGAGCAGUACUAGGAUGGGUGACCCCCUGGGAAGUCCUCGUGUUGCACUU